UACGAAGGGGGCUAGCGUUGCUCGGAAUCACUGGGCGUAAAGCGCACGUAGGCGGAUCUUUAAGUCAGGGGUGAAAUCCUGGAGCUCAACUCCAGAACUGCCUUUGAUACUGGGGAUCUCGAGUCCGGGAGAGGUGAGUGGAACUGCGAGUGUAGAGGUGAAAUUCGUAGAUAUUCGCAAGAACACCAGUGGCGAAGGCGGCUAUCUGGACGGUUUCUGACGCUAAGACGCGAAAGCGUGGGGAGCAAACAGG
RNAcentral lists this ribosomal RNA (253 nucleotides) under uncultured bacterium. RNAcentral describes it as "partial 16S ribosomal RNA". It matches the Rfam family "Bacterial small subunit ribosomal RNA", at positions 524 to 776 of the family's 1533-position model. The record is from RNAcentral.